Molecule: long non-coding RNA, 766 nt
Organism: Camelus dromedarius (Arabian camel)
Lineage: Eukaryota; Metazoa; Chordata; Mammalia; Artiodactyla; Camelidae
Exons: 4
Source: RefSeq, a predicted model, not a curated record
ACCAAAACAAAGUGGCUCUGGGAACAUUGACCAUGGGACAGACCUGGGCGGGGCCUCCAGAGGCAUCAGGCCUGAGACAGUUGUUCAGAGGGGGAGACCCGGGCCCGAGACGGGGAGAAGCGUGUCUGGGUCUAGGACCAAGGGAUCAGAAGAUGGAUGGAAACGACACGUGAGUCCUCCAGACCCUGCCUCCACCAGACUGCUCUGCUGUAGCGGUGUUCCAGAGGAUCCUUUUCUAGAACCAUCCCUUUCCUAACCAGUGGAGAAUUCCCCAUGAUCCUCCAAAGGCAUUUAAAAGUCUGUCUGAACAACAACAACAGAAAAAAGUGGAAGUCCUUCCCCUUCUGGCUUCAGUCAACAAGAGGAGAGAAGGACUCGGAGCCCCAGCUGGCAUGGGAGGAAGAUAAAUAAGAAAAAACAAAACAUGUCCUCAUGCUACAGUGGAAUGUUUAAAAAAGAGGUGAAAAGCACAAGGGAACACACUGGUUUCCUUGGCAACAGAGAAGUCCAGCCUCCAGAGUUCUGCCGGGAGACCAAGGCUUGGCCUGGGAUGCUCCCGACAAUGAUCUGCAGCCAAGGUCUCACUGUCCCGCCUGCCCAGGCAGUGAGCUGGGUGGGAGAGGUGCAAAAAUGUCAGCUCUGCAAAAUCGUGCGCCCCGGUCCCUGUCUCUCUCCUCGGCACUGGUGCAAGCAGCUACUCAUCCUCAGAUCACCGCUUUCCAGGGCUUUAUGGCUGAGCAGGUAAAAAAUGCUGCUUUUGACAGCA